RNAcentral lists this ribosomal RNA (253 nucleotides) under uncultured bacterium. RNAcentral's name for it is "partial 16S ribosomal RNA". It matches the Rfam family "Bacterial small subunit ribosomal RNA", at positions 524 to 776 of the family's 1533-position model. The record is from RNAcentral.
UACGGAGGGUGCGAGCGUUAAUCGGAAUAACUGGGCGUAAAGGGCACGCAGGCGGGUAUUUAAGUGAGAUGUGAAAUCCCCGGGCUUAACCUGGGAAGAGCAUUUCAGACUGCGAGUCUAGAGUACAGUAGGGAGGGGUAGAAUUCCACGUGUAGCGGUGAAAUGCGUAGAGAUGUGGAGGAAUACCGAAGGCGAGGGCAGCCCCUUGGGAAUGUACUGACGCUCAUGUGCGAAAGCGUGGGGAGCAAACAGG